RNAcentral lists this transfer RNA (91 nucleotides) under Burkholderiales bacterium. Its description in RNAcentral is "tRNA-Ser". It matches the Rfam family "tRNA". Rfam says of the family: Transfer RNA (tRNA) molecules are approximately 80 nucleotides in length. Their secondary structure includes four short double-helical elements and three loops (D, anti-codon, and T loops). Further hydrogen bonds mediate the characteristic L-shaped molecular structure. tRNAs have two regions of fundamental functional importance: the anti-codon, which is responsible for specific mRNA codon recognition, and the 3' end, to which the tRNAs corresponding amino acid is attached (by aminoacyl-tRNA synthetases). tRNAs cope with the degeneracy of the genetic code in two manners: having more than one tRNA (with a specific anti-codon) for a particular amino acid; and 'wobble' base-pairing, i.e. permitting non-standard base-pairing at the 3rd anti-codon position. Lineage: Bacteria; Pseudomonadati; Pseudomonadota; Betaproteobacteria; Burkholderiales. The record is from RNAcentral.
GGAGAGUUGGCCGAGUGGUUUAAGGCGCACGCCUGGAAAGCGUGUAAAGGUGAAUAGCCUUUCGGGGGUUCGAAUCCCCCAUUCUCCGCCA